Suncus etruscus (white-toothed pygmy shrew) is the source of this 105-nucleotide small nuclear RNA. Lineage: Eukaryota; Metazoa; Chordata; Mammalia; Eulipotyphla; Soricidae. The record is from RefSeq and is a predicted model, not a curated record.
UGCUCGAUUAGGUAGCAAUAUACUAAAAUUGGAAUGAUACAGAGAAGAUUAGCAUGGCCCCUGUGCAAGGAUGACUCGCAAAUUAGUGAAAAUUGUGGUUCUUCA